This 396-nucleotide ribosomal RNA is filed under the name uncultured bacterium. Its description in RNAcentral is "partial 16S ribosomal RNA". It matches the Rfam family "Bacterial small subunit ribosomal RNA", at positions 523 to 918 of the family's 1533-position model. The record is from RNAcentral.
AUACGUAGGUGGCAAGCGUUGUCCGGAUUUACUGGGCGUAAAGGGCGUGUAGGCGGAGCUGCAAGUCAGGAGUGAAAUCUAGGGGCUCAACCCCUAAACUGCUUUUGAAACUGUACCCCUUGAGUAUCGGAGAGGCAGGCGGAAUUCCAAGUGUAGACGUGAAAUGCGUAGAUAUUUGGAGGAAAACCAUUGGCGAAGGCGGACGGCUGGACGACAACUGUCGCUGAGGCGCGAAAGCGUGGGGAGCAAAAAGGAUUAGAUACCCUGGUAGUCCACGCUGUAAACGAUGAAUACUAGGUGUGGGGGGACUGACCCCCUCCGUGCCGCAGUUAACACAAUAAGUAUUCCACCUGGGGAGUACGAUCGCAAGAUUGAAACUCAAAUGAAUUGACGGGG